This 71-nucleotide non-coding RNA is filed under the name Nostocoides japonicum. RNAcentral's name for it is "Tetrasphaera japonica Fluoride sequence". It matches the Rfam family "Fluoride riboswitch aptamer (crcB RNA motif)". RNAcentral also lists the same sequence under 1 other name. Lineage: Bacteria; Bacillati; Actinomycetota; Actinomycetes; Micrococcales; Intrasporangiaceae. The record is from RNAcentral.
GAUAGGGCGGGUGAUGGAACCCACCCGGGGCGACGCUCCGAACUGCGACCGCUGAUGGCUCCUACGACGAC